Molecule: ribosomal RNA, 253 nt
Filed under: uncultured bacterium
Lineage: Bacteria
Description: partial 16S ribosomal RNA
Rfam family: Bacterial small subunit ribosomal RNA
Source: RNAcentral
GACGUAGGGCGCGAGCGUUGUCCGGAUUUAUUGGGCGUAAAGAGCGUGUAGGCGGCCAGAUAGGUCCGUUGUGAAAACUGGAGGCUUAACCUCCAGCUGUCGAUGGAAACCAUCUGGCUAGAGUCCGGAAGAGGAGAGUGGAAUUCCUGGUGUAGCGGUGAAAUGCGCAGAUAUCAGGAAGAACACCCGUGGCGAAGGCGGCUCUCUGGGACGGUACUGACGCUGAGACGCGAAAGCGUGGGGAGCGAACAGG